Molecule: long non-coding RNA, 285 nt
Filed under: Nicotiana benthamiana
Lineage: Eukaryota; Viridiplantae; Streptophyta; Magnoliopsida; Solanales; Solanaceae
Description: long non-coding RNA (NBEN_LNC034367)
Source: RNAcentral
GGAACUCCGUCCAAGAUUUAAGAGUUGUUAAGCCCGCAGCUCGUUUAGAAGAUUGUGAGCUAGACGAAGUAGGGGUUGGAAUAUUUGGCCUAGCAUGCUCUAAGGCAAGUUGAUAAGCAUUAUAAACUGUUUGAGCAUUAAUUUUAAUUGAUGCUUUUGCAUCUGCAAGUUUAGCAACUUUCUCGUUUGAAAGAUCUAAAGCCUUAUAAAUAUUUGAAUACCAAAAAUGAGGACCUCCCAAUUACAUUGUACGAUUUAACAUUGCAGCAACACCAAAAAUAGGAG